UGACGACAAUGACCAUCCGGCGCUCGGCGAUGGGUGAAGUAUGCGUGGCAAAGAGAAGGAUAGUAACCGCCGCUCACUCUUCCCAUUCGACCUACAGGUCAGGCGGGCGAGCGCUUUCUCUCCGCACGCUCUUAUUUGUACAACUUUAAUAUUUAAUAAUUCGAAAAUUAUUACGACUAUCGCAAAUUGAUAUAAAACAUUUUGAUUUAUCUCGCUCCCACCUACCUACUCAUGAGAACAGUGCUACGGGACAAUCUGUAUACGUAUACAUAAAUAUAUCUAUGUAUGUUAUGCAUAUGUGUGAACGUUUUCCUCAGAGUUCAUUCGUCAGUUCAGGAUCCUCUUGAAGGCCUAUAGAAAAGGGCGGAGGAAAAGAAAAAGUGUUCCUUAAUAAAAGGAAUAAGGCUCACAUUAUCGCGAUGGCAUAAAUAUAAUUUGAUCUGUAAAAUUCCGCAUGCGUAAUUAAAGAGAUGAUUCAUUUACGUCUUGCUCGCUUUGCCUUUAUGCAUCAUGUGAUUACAGUAUCAUUUUUAUGCAGUGCAGUUAUUAUUGCAGCUAUGAUGCAACUUUAAUUUUCGUGCAUCAUGAUUAAAAACGACAAAAACGUGAUGGUGAGAAAGGAGCUGAUGAGGCAAAAGAAAUCAAAAUUUUAUUCCCUAAAUUUCAUUUGAGGUUUAAUUUAGUCUAAAGCAUAUCAAAGAAACAAAUAAAUCAAUCAAAGAUAUACGUGAAACAUUUCGCUCUUUCAAUCCUUUAUUUUUUUUUUAUUUUUAUUGUUUCAUUGGCUUAUUGAAUACAUUAUAGUAUCGAUAAAAUGUACAAUAAAAAAAGACUACAAAAAA
Molecule: long non-coding RNA, 842 nt
Organism: Pogonomyrmex barbatus (red harvester ant)
Lineage: Eukaryota; Metazoa; Arthropoda; Insecta; Hymenoptera; Formicidae
Source: RefSeq, a predicted model, not a curated record